This 467-nucleotide ribosomal RNA is filed under the name uncultured bacterium. RNAcentral's name for it is "partial 16S ribosomal RNA". It matches the Rfam family "Bacterial small subunit ribosomal RNA", at positions 28 to 506 of the family's 1533-position model. The record is from RNAcentral.
GACGAACGCUGGCGGCGUGCUUAACACAUGCAAGUCGAACGGAAAGGCCCUGCUUUUGUGGGGUGCUCGAGUGGCGAACGGGUGAGUAACACGUGAGUAACCUGCCCUUGACUUUGGGAAAACUUCAGGAAACUGGGGCUAAUACCGGAUAGGAGCUCCUGCUGCAUGGUGGGGGUUGGAAAGUUUCGGCGGUUGGGGAUGGACUCGCGGCUUAUCAGCUUGUUGGUGGGGUAGUGGCUUACCAAGGCUUUGACGGGUAGCCGGCCUGAGAGGGUGACCGGCCACAUUGGGACUGAGAUACGGCCCAGACUCCUACGGGAGGCAGCAGUGGGGAAUAUUGCACAAUGGGCGGAAGCCUGAUGCAGCAACGCCGCGUGCGGGAUGACGGCCUUCGGGUUGUAAACCGCUUUCGCCUGUGACGAAGCGUGAGUGACGGUAAUGGGUAAAGAAGCACCGGCUAACUACGU